AGAACGAACGCUGGCGGCAUGCCUAACACAUGCAAGUCGAACGAGACCUCCAUCUUCGGGUGGCGGGUCUAGUGGCGCACGGGUGCGUAACGCGUGGGAAUCUGCCCUUGGGUACGGAAUAACAGUUAGAAAUGACUGCUAAUACCGUAUAAUGACUUCGGUCCAAAGAUUUAUCGCCCAGGGAUGAGCCCGCGUAGGAUUAGCUUGUUGGUGAGGUAAAAGCUCACCAAGGCGACGAUCCUUAGCUGGUCUGAGAGGAUGAUCAGCCACACUGGGACUGAGACACGGCCCAGACUCCUACGGGAGGCAGCAGUGGGGGAAUAUUGGACAAUGGGCGAAAGCCUGAUCCAGCAAUGCCGCGUGAGUGAUGAAGGCCUUAGGGUUGUAAAGCUCUUUUGCCCGGGAUGAUAAUGACAGUACCGGAGAAUAAGCUCCGGCUAACUCCGUGCCAGCAGCCGC
This 459-nucleotide ribosomal RNA is filed under the name uncultured bacterium. Its description in RNAcentral is "SSU rRNA". It matches the Rfam family "Bacterial small subunit ribosomal RNA", at positions 26 to 518 of the family's 1533-position model. The record is from RNAcentral.